AGCGAACGCUGGCGGCGUACUUAACACAUGCAAGUCGAACGGGGAGCUUCGGUGUAGCAAUACAUCGGAGCUUCUAGUGGCGUACGGGUGAGUAACACGUGGGCAACUUGCCCUAGAGAC
This 120-nucleotide ribosomal RNA is filed under the name uncultured bacterium. Its description in RNAcentral is "partial 16S ribosomal RNA". It matches the Rfam family "Bacterial small subunit ribosomal RNA", at positions 29 to 138 of the family's 1533-position model. The record is from RNAcentral.